GGAAUUUUGCACAAUGGCCGAAAGGCUGAUGCAGCAACGCCGCGUGAGUGAAGAAGGCCUUCGGGUUGUAAAGCUCUGUUGACCGGGAAGAACGGCGUAAUCAGGAAAUGGGUUACGUUUGACGGUACCGGUAGAGGAAGCCCCGGCUAACUACGUGCCAGCAGCCGCGGUAAUACGUAGGGGGCGAGCGUUGUCCGGAUUUAUUGGGCGUAAAGGGCGUGUAGGCGGUCUGGUAAGUCGGGGGUGAAAACCCAGAGCUCAACUCUGGGAGUGCCUCCGAUACUGCUGGACUUGAGUGCUCUAGAGGGUAGUGGAAUUGCCGGUGUAGCAGUGAAAUGCGUAGAGAUCGGCAGGAACACCAGUGGCGAAGGCGACUGCCUGGGGAGUAACUGACGCUGAGGCGCGAAAGCUGGGGGAGCAAA
RNAcentral lists this ribosomal RNA (422 nucleotides) under uncultured bacterium. RNAcentral's name for it is "bacterial SSU rRNA". It matches the Rfam family "Bacterial small subunit ribosomal RNA", at positions 358 to 772 of the family's 1533-position model. The record is from RNAcentral.